Molecule: long non-coding RNA, 537 nt
Filed under: Ananas comosus (pineapple)
Lineage: Eukaryota; Viridiplantae; Streptophyta; Magnoliopsida; Poales; Bromeliaceae
Description: long non-coding RNA (ACOM_LNC023190)
Source: RNAcentral
AAAUAACUAUUCUGGUUAAAUUGGAUUAUUCUAAUGAAAAUUUUGUUAAAUGUGGAUUGAGAUUUAUCUUAAUAAGUUAAGGAUAGUGAUAAAUUAUUUAUUUCUUAUUAGUUAAGAAACAUAUCUUCUAAUGAAAAUUUUGUGUGACACCCUAAUAAUCCCACAUCGGAUGGGAAUGGGAUUGUCAUUGGGUUUAUAAGAGACUUAGACACUAGUAAUAAUAACUGGGCUUAAGCAUUUUGGGCUGGUGGUUUGGGCCCAACGAGUUAUUGUUGCUAGUGGGCUGGGUCGUUACAUUUUGAUAAAUAUCAUAAUCCUAAUCUUUUUUCUAGAGAUAGCAUGCUAUCCGCUUUGUUUAUUUUAUUUAGAAACAAACUUAGCUGAAAAUGUGAAUCAACUAGGAUUCGAACUUGGGACCUUGGGUACCAACCACCAAAUAUAAGGACUGAGAUUUUUGCAGUGUUACUAAACUCUCUGUUGACGAUGUUUUAUGUGUAAUUUAAUUACAUAAGGACUCGUCAAGUUUUAGCAGAAAAU